Long non-coding RNA from Heterocephalus glaber (naked mole-rat), 868 nucleotides. The record is from Ensembl. Lineage: Eukaryota; Metazoa; Chordata; Mammalia; Rodentia; Bathyergidae.
CACAGGAGUUAGCAGUCAUUUGCAAACUCACCACGGACCGGAGGAAAUCCUGGAAGACACAGCAGCCAAGGCCAGUCAUUACAACCUGUGGCAGCUCCCCUGCUUGGGCUCUCCCUCUGCCUUGUGGGUUCCCUCCCUCUCAGUCCUCCUGGACGGCCUGGCUGGCUGAUGCUUUCCAGCACCUGUCACCCUGGAUUUUGGCAGAAUGAAGUGAGGAGACAGCUGGAGUCAUUAUAGUUCAUCUGUUUGAAGACUGCCCAAAUGAAAAACAAACAAACAAAUCUGGUGCAUUUACCUUUAUGUCAUUCAAGGAUUUCAGUGAGUGAUGAUUGAAUUCUACCUGUCUUCUGUUCUGUGAGACAAAUACAUAGGCUUCAAUUCACCAGAACAUUUAGAUUCUGUCUCUGCAUGGCUAUCCUUGAAAAACAUCUCCUGGGACGUAUUUUUUUGAAUGAAUUUCAAGAAAUUCUCUCUUCCACAAAUUCCAAAAUCUGCUGAAACUUACAUCCUUUACCCAAUCCUGAGUGUAGAAGACUGUGAAAUCCUGAAAUAUUUAGCAGUGGCUGAUUGUAGAGAUGGAGUAGACACCUACCUCUAGAAUAAGGAAUUGAGGAGACACCCCAGAAGGAAGGCUCUGGAAUCCAUCUCAAACAAUGUUUCCAUAUUGGCCAUGUCUCUGAACUGACUCCUUGACUGGGAACUGUCAUCUUAGGCAAUUUUUGGAUUGGUUUUUCCUGUGUUUUGCAACUAUUGGACUUUUUGAAAAUCGCUAUAGAGUGUAGUGCAUUUAUAUUGUUCUUCUGAGUAAUCUCUUCCCAUGCUAUUAUUCAUGUCUGCAACUUUUUCAAAAAUAAAAUAGGCUUCAAAU